Molecule: ribosomal RNA, 465 nt
Filed under: uncultured bacterium
Lineage: Bacteria
Description: partial 16S ribosomal RNA
Rfam family: Bacterial small subunit ribosomal RNA
Source: RNAcentral
GACGAACGCUGGCGGCGUGCUUAACACAUGCAAGUCGAACGCUGAACCCGCUUCGGUGGGGGAUGAGUGGCGAACGGGUGAGUAACACGUGGGCAACCUGCCCCCGGCUCUGGGAUAACUCCAAGAAAUUGGGGCUAAUACCGGAUGUGACCGCUGGCUGCAUGGUCUGGUGGUGGAAAGGGUUUCCGGCUGGGGAUGGGCCCGCGGCCUAUCAGCUUGUUGGUGGGGUAGUGGCCUACCAAGGCGACGACGGGUAGCCGGCCUGAGAGGGUGACCGGCCACACUGGGACUGAGACACGGCCCAGACUCCAACGGGAGGCAGCAGUGGGGAAUAUUGCGCAAUGGGCGGAAGCCUGACGCAGCGACGCCGCGUGGGGGAUGACGGCCUUCGGGUUGUAAACCUCUUUCAGCAGGGACGAAGCGCAAGUGACGGUACCUGCAGAAGAAGCACCGGCCAACUACGUG